Molecule: ribosomal RNA, 495 nt
Filed under: uncultured bacterium
Lineage: Bacteria
Description: partial 16S ribosomal RNA
Rfam family: Bacterial small subunit ribosomal RNA
Source: RNAcentral
GACGAACGCUGGCGGCGUGCCUAAUACAUGCAAGUAGAACGCUGAAGGAGGAGUUUGCUUCUCUGGAUGAGUUGCGAACGGGUGAGUAACGCGUAGGUAACCUGCCUGGUAGCGGGGGAUAACUAUUGGAAACGACAGCUAAUACCGCAUAAGAGUAGAUGUCGCAUGACAUUUGCUUAAAAGGUGCAUUUGCAUCACUACCAGAUGGACCUGCGUUGUAUUUGCUAGUUGGUGCGGUAACGGCUCACCAAGGCAACGAUACUUAGCCGACCUGAGAGGGUGAUCGGGCACACUGGGACUGGGAAACGGCUCCGACUCCUGAGGGAAGGAGCAGUAGGGGAACUUCGGCAAUGGACGGAAGGCUGACCGAGGAACGCCGCGUGAGUGGAGAAGGGUUUCGGGUCGUAAAGGUCUGUUGUAAGGGGAGAAAGAGUAUGAGGGUGGAACGUUCCCGCUGUGACGGUAUCUUACCAGAAAGGAACGGCUAACUACGUG